CGUAGGGACCAAGCGUUGUUCGGAUUUACUGGGGCGUAAAGGGCGCGUAGGCGGCGCGACAAGUCACUUGUGAAAUCUCCGGGCUUAACUCGGAACGGUCAAGUGAUACUGUUGUGCUAGAGUACAGAAAGGGUAAUCGGAAUUCUCGGUGUAGCGGUGAAAUGCGUAGAUAUCGAGAGGAACACCAGAGGCGAAGGCGGAUUACUGGGCUGAUACUGACGCUGAGGCGCGAAAAGCUAGGGUAGCAAACGGGAUU
RNAcentral lists this ribosomal RNA (256 nucleotides) under uncultured bacterium. Its description in RNAcentral is "partial 16S ribosomal RNA". It matches the Rfam family "Bacterial small subunit ribosomal RNA", at positions 526 to 779 of the family's 1533-position model. The record is from RNAcentral.